UGGGAAUUUGGACAAUGGGCGAAGCCUGAUCCAGCAAUGCCGCGUGUGUGAAGAAGGCCUUCGGGUUGUAAAGCACUUUUGUCCGGAAAGAAAUCCUUGGCUCUAAUACAGUCGGGGGAUGACGGUACCGGAAGAAUAAGCACCGGCUAACUACGUGCCAGCAGCCGCGGUAAUACGUAGGGUGCAAGCGUUAAUCGGAAUUACUGGGCGUAAAGCGUGCGCAGGCGGUUUGCUAAGACCGAUGUGAAAUCCCCGGGCUCAACCUGGGAACUGCAUUGGUGACUGGCAGGCUAGAGUAUGGCAGAGGGGGGUAGAAUUCCACGUGUAGCAGUGAAAUGCGUAGAGAUGUGGAGGAAUACCGAUGGCGAAGGCAGCCCCCUGGGCAAUACUGACGCUCAUGCACGAAAGCGUGGGGAGCAAACAGGAUUAGAUACCCUGGUAGUCCACGCCCUAAACGAUGUCAACUAGUUGUUGGGGAUUCAUUUCCUAGUAACGUAGCUAACGCGUGAAGUUGACCGCCUGGGGAGUAC
This 530-nucleotide ribosomal RNA is filed under the name uncultured bacterium. Its description in RNAcentral is "partial 16S ribosomal RNA". It matches the Rfam family "Bacterial small subunit ribosomal RNA", at positions 357 to 883 of the family's 1533-position model. The record is from RNAcentral.